AUGAAAACGCAAUUUCUGUUUUUCUUGUUAGUAGUACUUUUAGUUACCGAUCCCGGCUCUGUGAGUUCUUUCUUCCGUGAUGAACUGUCGGCACCAGUCCUACAUUUUUUUCUCUGUGGACCGAGGAGAAAGGGGGCUCAGCAGGAAGAGGAUUGUACCAUGAGAGAAGCACAGAGGUCAACCCGCUUCAAAUAUGGAACAUGGAUUCUGGCAAUGCAACGGAGUUGGGUCCUCAUAUCGAUCCGAAUGAAUCAGUCUUUCUACAGAGGUCAAUCUUUGCCUAUUAGGCAAGAGGAUAGCAAGUUCUGGCAAGCUGCUGUAAGUUUUCGAUGA
RNAcentral lists this ribosomal RNA (333 nucleotides) under Triticum aestivum (bread wheat). RNAcentral describes it as "partial small subunit ribosomal RNA". Lineage: Eukaryota; Viridiplantae; Streptophyta; Magnoliopsida; Poales; Poaceae. The record is from RNAcentral.